Molecule: ribosomal RNA, 466 nt
Filed under: uncultured bacterium
Lineage: Bacteria
Description: partial 16S ribosomal RNA
Rfam family: Bacterial small subunit ribosomal RNA
Source: RNAcentral
GACGAACGCUGGCGGCGUGCUUAACACAUGCAAGUCGAACGGAAAGGCCCUGCUUGCAGGGUACUCGAGUGGCGAACGGGUGGGUAACACGUGGGUGAUCUGCCCUGCACUUCGGGAUAAGCUUGGGAAACUGGGUCUAAUACCGGAUAGGAGCCAUCUUUAGUGUGGUGGUUGGAAAGUUUUUUCGGUGUAGGAUGAGCUCGCGGCCUAUCAGCUUGUUGGUGGGGUAAUGGCCUACCAAGGCGGCGACGGGUAGCCGGCCUGAGAGGGUGUACGGCCACAUUGGGACUGAGAUACGGCCCAGACUCCUACGGGAGGCAGCAGUGGGGAAUAUUGCACAAUGGGCGCAAGCCUGAUGCAGCGACGCCGCGUGGGGGAUGAAGGCCUUCGGGUUGUAAACUCCUUUCGCUAGGGACGAAGCUUUGUUGUGACGGUACCUAGAUAAGAAGCACCGGCUAACUACGUG